AUACGGGGGUGACAAGCGUUGUUCGGAUUUACUGGGCGUAAAGGGCGCGUAGGCGGACUCUCAAGUCGGGUGUGAAAACUGGCGGCUCAACUGCCAGCCUGCAUCCGAAACUGUGAGUCUUGAGUACGGGAGAGGAAAGCGGAAUUCCAGGUGUAGCGGUGAAAUGCGUAGAUAUCUGGAAGAACACCGGUAGCGAAGGCGGCUUUCUGGACCGAUACUGACGCUAAAGCGCGAAGGCUUGGGUAGCAAACAGGAGUAGAAACCCCAGUAGUCC
This 274-nucleotide ribosomal RNA is filed under the name uncultured bacterium. Its description in RNAcentral is "partial 16S ribosomal RNA". It matches the Rfam family "Bacterial small subunit ribosomal RNA", at positions 523 to 796 of the family's 1533-position model. The record is from RNAcentral.